This 690-nucleotide long non-coding RNA is filed under the name Manacus vitellinus (golden-collared manakin). RNAcentral's name for it is "lncRNA (ENSMVIG00005014241.1)". The record is from RNAcentral. Lineage: Eukaryota; Metazoa; Chordata; Aves; Passeriformes; Pipridae.
UUCACAGUGAUUUGAUUGCAAAUACCAUUCUGAGCACUAAUGCCCCAUCCUGUUUUCCAGGGUAUCAGAUACAACUGCAAUAUCAGCACCCUGAUGGCUCCUACAGUGAAUUUGGUACCAAGGAUGAGUAUGGUAAUACUUGGCUGACUGCAUUUGUGGUUAAAUGCUUUGUCCAAGCCAAGCCAUACAUUUUCCUGGACAAGAGGACCAUAGAAGCUGCUCUGACCUGGCUGGAGUUCCACCAGCUUCCCAGCGGUUGCUUCAGAAAUGUGGGCCAACUUGUUCACACAUUCAUGAAGGGAGGUGUAGAUGGGGAAGUCCCCUUGACUGCCUACAUCACUGCUGCAUACUUGGAGGCAGGAGCAACACCAGAGGUAAAUACUGGGAUUCUUUGCCAUGCUCUUGCCUUAAGAUCUGAAUCCUAAAGAGCUUAGUGGUAUCACUGGGACAGGCAACAGAGCAUCUUGGAGAGAUUUGUGGACAAAGUAAUAGGAUGGGCAAGGAAGAUCUUACCACUUCUUGGGAAAAAGCCUCAACUAUCCCUUGAGGAGGACAUUGCUGGCAGGGAGAAGGUGAGAUUAAACUACUGGGGCCAUUGGACUUCAUGGCUAGACACUAUGGCCAUUUCCCAGGCUUUACUGCUCAUUCCUGUUCCCCUCACCCCCCCUUCCUCCCAUCCUCUUGUUAGCC